This 85-nucleotide transfer RNA is filed under the name Asterophora parasitica. Its description in RNAcentral is "tRNA-Asp". The record is from RNAcentral. Lineage: Eukaryota; Fungi; Basidiomycota; Agaricomycetes; Agaricales; Lyophyllaceae.
UCUUUGCUAGUGUAUCGGUUAGUACACGCGCCUGUCAUGAAGUGUGUCUACGCGCGAAAGCUGGGUUCGACUCCCAGGCAGAGAG